AGUGUGUGUAUACAUGUGUUUUUGAGCCAAUCUCAUCAUCAGAGCACAGUCUCGCUUGAUUGGGCAAGGUGAUGCUGACUUGAAUAGGUAAUCAGGCUUUAAACACAUGAACAUGUUGAGGUGGCAUGUCUACUUUUAUAUGAAGAACUCAGCUAUUCUUCUCUGGGUUUUUUUUUUGUUUGUUUGUUUGUUUGUUUGUUUGUUUGUUUUUUGUCAUUUUGCAUCAAGUUAGCUGACAUGACACUCACUUCUGGCAAAUAAUCAUCAUAUUUUAAAAGUGUUGUUUUACUACAGUUUAAAAGAAAAAUAAAAUACAUUUAUAACUGGCCAGUCAAAACUGUGACUUUAAGACCAAGCUGAACUGGUUACAUCAUUAGCAGACUGAACAUGCAGUUAAUCCUACUAAUUGUGAGCACCUUGCCUUCCAGCAAAUCAGCUAGGACUAAAGGCUGAACAAUAGUACAUCUAAUUAAUGUUCAUGACCCAGGCUGAUAAAGGAGAUCUGGGUUUCUCUCUGCAUUUCCAUUCAUCACUAUAAAUCUGCAUGUACCCAUACUAAAGACAUGCUGGUAGCAUCAGCCGUGGAGUGAGAAUUAAUCCUACUAAUGGUGAGUGCCUUGCCUUUCAGCAAACCAGCUAAGACUAAUGGCUGAACAAUACCACAUCUAAUUAAUAUUCAAGAGCCAGGCUGAUAAGGUUAAUAAAGGAGGUCCAUGUAACCUGGAGAAAGUCAUCUGUUCACAUUCCCAUUCAUCUCUAUAAACCUGCAUGUUUCCAUCCACAAGAGGAACAGGAGCCAAAGCUCAGCACGGUGUGAGAAGGUUGCCCUCAGGCAAGCAUGAGACUGGCCUUGGUAAUUGGCACCAGUGAACGAGAGGGUCCUGGCACGACUCCGAAAACCAGAGGAAUGUAUGCAUUCUGUCCAGCUUCAGGCAGAGGAGUUAACAGAACAUCGUGUGAAUCAGCGUGUCUCCAGUCUACACUAUCAUUAGCCCUGGGGUGGGCCAGAGGGAAAGCAAGGGACUGUGGUGCAUCUCUUUUCAUUUACCUUUUUUUUUUUUGUUUACCUCACCCAUCUAUUCUCUCUUCAUGAGUCAUUAUUCCCCAUCUGCAGACACAUACAGUAGCUGGAGUGACGGUUGUUGUAUGGGCAUGCACAGAAAAUGAUCAAUACAAUAUUGUCACCAAACACAUCAUUUUUCAGUUGGGUUUACUCAAGCCAUCCGCUCUGUCACUUCUCAGUUUUUUAUUUUCUCUGCUACCUACAUUGCAUUCAUUCCACUCUGCCUUUAUUCAUAUUUGAAAUGCCGUUGUUGAAAUAAUCUCUUCACUGGCAUGUUUAUUCAGGGACAAUAUGGGAAGGAGACGAACCACUCAUAGAAAAAUUAAUGUAAGAAUAUUGCACGUGUAGAGAUGGAGCUUCUGCCUUUUGAUGGAGGGGUGGGUGGUAUGGUCAAAUGAAUUCAUGCUAGAAGUAAUUUAUUAUUUUUAUAAAUAUAGUGUGAUUUAAGAU
Molecule: long non-coding RNA, 1513 nt
Organism: Cyprinus carpio (common carp)
Lineage: Eukaryota; Metazoa; Chordata; Actinopteri; Cypriniformes; Cyprinidae
Exons: 4
Source: RefSeq, a predicted model, not a curated record